GCUCUCAUGGCGUAGUGGUCACUGCGCUCGCCUUGCACGCGGGAGACCCGGGUUCGAUUCCCGGCGAGGUCA
RNAcentral lists this transfer RNA (72 nucleotides) under Diaphorina citri (Asian citrus psyllid). It matches the Rfam family "tRNA". From Rfam's summary of the family: Transfer RNA (tRNA) molecules are approximately 80 nucleotides in length. Their secondary structure includes four short double-helical elements and three loops (D, anti-codon, and T loops). Further hydrogen bonds mediate the characteristic L-shaped molecular structure. tRNAs have two regions of fundamental functional importance: the anti-codon, which is responsible for specific mRNA codon recognition, and the 3' end, to which the tRNAs corresponding amino acid is attached (by aminoacyl-tRNA synthetases). tRNAs cope with the degeneracy of the genetic code in two manners: having more than one tRNA (with a specific anti-codon) for a particular amino acid; and 'wobble' base-pairing, i.e. permitting non-standard base-pairing at the 3rd anti-codon position. Lineage: Eukaryota; Metazoa; Arthropoda; Insecta; Hemiptera; Psyllidae. The record is from Rfam by way of RNAcentral.